This 471-nucleotide ribosomal RNA is filed under the name uncultured bacterium. Its description in RNAcentral is "partial 16S ribosomal RNA". It matches the Rfam family "Bacterial small subunit ribosomal RNA", at positions 28 to 507 of the family's 1533-position model. The record is from RNAcentral.
GACGAACGCUGGCGGCGUGCUUAACACAUGCAAGUCGAACGGAAAGGCCCUGCUUGCAGGGUGCUCGAGUGGCGAACGGGUGAGUAACACGUGGGUGAUCUGCCCCUUACUUUGGGAUAAGCCUGGGAAACUGGGUCUAAGACUGGAUAGGACCAUGCUGUAGGUGGUGUGGUGGAAAGAUUUUUUCGGUAAGGGAUGAGCUCGCGGCCUAUCAGCUUGUUGGUGGGGUAAUGGCCUACCAAGGCGUCGACGGGUAGCCGGCCUGAGAGGGUGGACGGCCACAUUGGGACUGCGAUACGGCCCAGACUCCUACGGGAGGCGGCUGUGAGGAAUAUUGCGCUAUGGGCGCAAGCCUGAUGCAGCGACGCCGCGUGGGGGAUGGCGGCCUUCGGGUUGUAAUCUCCUUUCAGCCAUGACGAAGCCUCUUUUGGGGUGACGGUAGUGGUAGAAGAAGCACCGGCUAACUACGUG